ACUGGCUGUACCAGUGCUUCUCAGAUUAGAUGCCCAUCAGAGUCCCUUCAGGUUACUUGCCACAAUUAUCGAAGCCAGACCUGCCUCCCAAACCUUCUGAGUGGUGGUUCUGGUGCACACUCAGGCAGGAGAAGCUUUGCUCAACGCGUGAACGGUCUUGAAGCUCCCGAAGGACUUGUGAUCUUGUCAUGGGCAUGAGUCCUCAACAUCCGGUCUUAUUCACUUGAUUAAUUUUUAAUCGGGGAAUCAUGCUGAGCUAUUUCCAGACUAUGAGUGGAGGCAGCUCUGUACUGCUGUCCCAGUGGAAUUCUGAUUAAUGCACUUUCUCUCUGGUCCCUGUGGACCACCAGUUUCCUGGUCCUCCAACUAUAUUUGUUCUGUUGAGAGGGAGGCAGCAAGUUGGAGAAAGAUCCAUUUGCUCCUCCCACUCAAGGGAGUUACACCUGGAGCCAUCUGCUCCCCUCCAAAGAGUAAUAAACUUCUCGCCUCCAAACUAUGGAAACAUUGCAAGAUUGUAAACUCAGAGAUGCUUGUCUUAUCUUCUCCCUGGGGACAUUUAUUUAUAUUCCAAAGGGAGAGAAGAAGGAGAGCAGCUGUUCCCCUUGUGUAUGAACUCCCAGAUUCAUAUUUAUGGGCUUCCUCACCUACAGUACAGACCCUCGUAUAUGUUGGGUGACAUCUAUCUGGCUUUCAUCAUGAAUGAUGUUCCAUGAAACAGAUUUCUGCUCUAACGUUGUGCGAAGGCUUGCAUUAACCAUGUACGUCCAACAUGAAAUAUAACUUCCCCAUUCAUCUUCAGAAAUGUUUAAAGCAAUUCCAAUCCAAGAUGAUACCAAUCCGUAAGUACUGUGGUCUACCUCAUGGAUGGAGGAUUCUGAAAUUUGGGAUUGAAGGAAAUAGGAAAGGAUCAGAGAGAGAGCCUAGGAAGAUAACAUCAAUUUUGAAGGAGGAAGUGAUAUCUCUUCUGAAACAAAAGAUGAGAAGGGAUGGAGGCAAAGACAGAGAUAUUCUAAUGUGGAUAGAAGGAGAGACGAAGGAAUAUACAAGUGAUGGUUCAAAAUUUUAAGGAAAGAAAGAAGUAAGGGGAAGAUUUAAAGUAAUCUGCGUGAAAAGGAACACCGGUUAGUUCUGAUAUGACCAGCCCCAUUGGGGUGACAGAAGUCAAUAGAAGAGUAACAACAACAAAAAGAGCGAAAAAGGUCAUUUCAACAGUUCAUCAAAUUUCUACGAGUGUUACCAUUUUAAGAUACUGUGUAGGCUCAGGGUCAGAGAAGAUAAAAUCCCAUUCCUUGCGGUUGUCACACUUAAUGGGAAGGCCACCACCAGAGCCCAGUUGAAAACAGACAAAAGUGAAAUACUAGCAUAAUCACAUGACAAUCUUCAACAAUGCUUCUCGGACUUAGGAGGAGAGGGAGAUGAGUUGGGGUUGUGAAGGUUCAGGUCUACCAAUGACCUUGUGGAGGUAUUCAAGGCAGUACCAGUCCUGGUGAACCCGAUGCCCUGCCUAGGAAAGGAGAUAUGUAGAGUAAGAGAAAGUACUGCUCCUGUGUAGAGGGAGUGGAACAGGUGUCCAGAAAGGUGGUGCCACCUAUAAGGGGCCAUCAAUUUAGAGAUCUUUUAAGUGAUAAGAGACCCCGAGGUUAAGCCCUGAGGGUGAGUCACUGAGACAGUGUAGAGGGACGUGGACGAGCAAGAAGUGUUGUGAAGAUGUAAUAAGGCCUUGCAUAUGUCAUAAUGUGAUGUAAACAAAUAGGAAGUACUAUACAGGGAUUGUGGGGAGUUGGCUCCCCACAAAUCUGAGAGAGACCAGAGCAUGUAAGGUCCUGCUCACCCAUGAGACUAUCUACAGGAAUUCUGAUUCUAAAGUCGUCUCCAUUUAUAUUGGCUUAUCUUUUUGAGACACUAAGUUGUUUCUGAGCUGCCUUGCCAUGAAGAUUCAUUACAUUUUCUUAGCUCUUCUUUUCUUUGGCCUGUUAUCUGUCUCAGGAACUGAAGAUACUCAUGAGGUCGUUAGCUUCCUGGACUGUAAAAAUCAAACAUUGUGCAAUUCCUCAAAUGAGGAUGGAAGCUGUUCUCGUGCUAACCUAGAGCUUGGAAUGUGUGUCUUGCGUUUUAGACAUGAGAAGCUAACCUUAAAGAAGUAGAAAAUCAGGAAGACAGGAUGCUCAACUCCCUUGUCUUAUGAAAAAAUAAAGUUUGUUUUCUUUUCUCUCU
Molecule: non-coding RNA, 2214 nt
Organism: Equus caballus (horse)
Lineage: Eukaryota; Metazoa; Chordata; Mammalia; Perissodactyla; Equidae
Source: RefSeq, a predicted model, not a curated record